AACGCAGUAGACAAGUUCCUUCGGCUCAACACGAUGCCACUGGCCCGGGCAGGCACCCACGGGAAAAGGUGCUCCUGAGCGCCAGAAGGGCAUCUGCUGGGGGCUCCUGGCAGGGGACGGAAGCUGGGCAAAGAUGGGACAAGCAUGAAGCACAUUCUGCACACCAAAGCUCCUGAACCUGGAAACAGAAGGCAGCAGAAUGUGCCAAUCUCCCUCCCUUCUUCCUGCUUCUGGGACAUUCUCCAGAGGAUUAGAACCAAAACCGUGAGCUGCACUGCCACUGCUUUGAUCCAGGAUGUCAUCGUUUCUUACCUCAACUAUUGCAGUGGUCUCCAACUGGAUGCUAAUGAUGUUUCUUGAAAUUCUGCUUGUGAUUAUCUAAACUUGAAAAUUGGGAUAAGAAAGGUGAAGUGAGUUUUCAGGUUGUGUAAUGGAAUCUGCUGCUGCAGAGGAGUUUUUACCGAGGGAAAAGUAGGCCAGACUAAUGUUCAGGAUUCUGACAGUGAGUGUGCUUUGGCCCAAAAUGCAUCUU
This is a long non-coding RNA of Lutra lutra (Eurasian river otter), 532 nucleotides long. RefSeq lists it as uncharacterized. Lineage: Eukaryota; Metazoa; Chordata; Mammalia; Carnivora; Mustelidae. The record is from RefSeq and is a predicted model, not a curated record. The transcript has 3 exons.